GUAAGCCUGGGUGAAACAUCUGCAAGUUUGGCUUAUAUUUAAGAUUGUACUCUUAUAUUCCUGACAGAUUUAUAUUAUUAAAGAUCCACGACGAUGAGCGACGAUGGCGGAGGAUGUGAUUCUGGAGGAGGAUGUGAUUCUGGAGGAGGAUGUGAUUAUGGAGGAGACUGUGAAUCUGGAGGAGGAGGAUGUGAUUCUGGAGGAAGAGACAGCUCCGACUGUAGUGACAGAGAUGACGGAGGCGAUAACACUCACGAGGACUGCUUCGAAUACGUGGAGACUUCGAGUGGUCAUCGUAUCAAGAUGCCGAAGUCGCGGUCGAGGCGAAGGAAGAGCAGUUCGAACAACGAUUGUGUGAUGUAUGGGAUACUGGCUAUUGUUGUCAUUGGGUUGAUUAUAUAUUUGUUGUAUAGGUUUGUUUUUUAAUUAAGCUUCGGGUGUGAGUUUGUUUUCACUCUCUCUCUCUCUCUCUCUCUCUCUCUCUCUCUCUCUCUCUCUCUCUCUCUCUCUCUCUCUCUCUCUCUCUCUCUCUCUCUCUCUUUCUCUCGUUAUCUCUAUCUAUUCAUCUAUCAACCUACCUAUUAAGCUCUCAAAUUUCCAUUGUUAUUUUUAAGAUAUACUGUAAUAUCUCGCUAUCCUGUGAGAAAUUAUAUUGUUAAUGAUAGGUUAUGUUAUAUCCGUGUCUGAAUCAAAAAGUACAUAUGAAAAGUUUGUUACAAAUAUUAUAGUAAAUAAAUAAUCUUAAUGUCAACUCUUUGAAGAUGACACUUUUGUCAAUUCAAAUACAAGAAGUAUCAUGACAAAACUCAUGUCAUCAUCACUUUUGUUAUUCAUCCCACAACAUCCUUAAAGAAUACUUGAGAUCAUAUUAUUAUAAUGGUUAAUGAUUUGUGACACUAAGGAAGUAGUUUUGUACUUGUGUAAUAAAAGUGAUAUAUGAAAA
RNAcentral lists this long non-coding RNA (943 nucleotides) under Penaeus japonicus. RNAcentral describes it as "uncharacterized LOC122255368". Lineage: Eukaryota; Metazoa; Arthropoda; Malacostraca; Decapoda; Penaeidae. The record is from RNAcentral.